This 454-nucleotide ribosomal RNA is filed under the name bacterium. RNAcentral describes it as "bacterial SSU rRNA". It matches the Rfam family "Bacterial small subunit ribosomal RNA", at positions 362 to 807 of the family's 1533-position model. The record is from RNAcentral.
UUUUGGACAAUGGGGGCAACCCUGAUCCAGCAAUGCCGCGUGAGUGAAGAAGGCCUUCGGGUUGUAAAGCUCUUUUGUCAGGGAAGAAACGGGAUGAUCCUAAUACGGUCCCCUAAUGACGGUACCUGAAGAAUAAGCACCGGCUAACUACGUGCCAGCAGCCGCGGUAAUACGUAGGGUGCAAGCGUUAAUCGGAAUUACUGGGCGUAAAGCGUGCGCAGGCGGUUAUGUAAGACAGGUGUGAAAUCCCCGGGCUUAACCUGGGAAUGGCAUUUGUGACUGCAUAGCUAGAGUGUGUCAGAGGGGGGUAGAAUUCCACGUGUAGCAGUGAAAUGCGUAGAGAUGUGGAGGAAUACCGAUGGCGAAGGCAGCCCCCUGGGAUAACACUGACGCUCAUGCACGAAAGCGUGGGGAGCAAACAGGAUUAGAUACCCUGGUAGUCCACGCCCUAAAC